CUGAAAAAUGUCAAUUCAAGGAGGAUUUUAUUCUAGAUUUAUAUUGUUUUUUAAAAAUAAUUACAAAUUAUGGAUUCAGGAAAAAUUGAUUUUCCUGUUUUCCUGCCGUCUUUUUUGUUUUCCAGUCAUAAUUCAUUUUUUUAUGAGCCUGCUAUUGUACUCUGUAUGAUGGAAUAUAUAUUUACUUUAGUAGAUUUCUUCUUUGUAGGGGCCCUUCCAAUAUUGGCAUAACUAUACUUUUCCCCCAUUAUGCAAUGUCAGUUUUUAUUUGAUCACUCAUUUAUAGCAGUUGAUUAAAUGUAUGCUUUUAUGUGAUGGUGCUUUAAUAUUUAAAAACAAAAUGUUUCUAAUAAGCUGCCAGUUUUCUAGUAAAAGCAAGUUUAUUUGAUCAAUUCAUACGGAAAUUGAGUUAUAGUGCUUCUAUAGUUAGUUGAUUUUUAUUUAUUUAUUUACUUUUAGCUAUCUUAGCUAUUGGGGUUAUUUUGUAUAAGAAAGCCUAAUGCUUUCUGUUAAUAGCUGACUUUUCUCUCAUUUGACUUUGAAAUCUGACUUAAGCCUCAGACUCUCCUAGAAAAAAAGUUAACAUGGACCUUGAAUUACUUGUUUUAAAUUCCAAAAGAAAAGGAACAUAAUUUCAUUCCUAGCUUAAAAUCAUUUAAUAAUCUUGAAACUCAUUACAUCAUUUGCCUCCUGCCCAUUUGGAUAAUCAUACCUACAUUUAUUAAUUGUAUAUUUGUAAAGCCUUUCCAGUCAAUACUUGCUAUAAGGCUAUUACUUGUCAAAUAUAAAAACUUCUAAAUAUGUUAAAACUUUGUUUUGAUUUCUCAAAAAUUUAUUACACUCAGUUACCCAGCGUUUUUCAAAUCAGCUGUGGUAUAUGAAAGAAAUGUUAAUGUUCAUGUUGUUCAUUUUUAUAUGAAAUAUCAGGUGAGCAGCUAAGAAAAAGCCUUAUAGAAAGAGUUUACUGGACUUACAAGUGUGUUUGUUUUUCUAAGAAUGGGAGCUUCUGUUAACUUAAUUGCCCUGAGAAAACCUAUGGUUUGGGUAGACUGGCUAGAGAACCCAAAUCCACCAAUCAGGCAUGCUCAAUUUUAAGUUUGCAUUCAAAGUCUUAAGUUUUCUUUAUUUUUAUUUAGUGAAAAUGUAAGCUCUUUAAAAAGUGCAUAUUUAACAUUUAAUUUGAAGCAGUUACUAUUAAUAUUCUUAGUUUUUUUUCUUCUUUUCAAGUAUACAUAGUUUUUUUUUUUUUAAUUUAGAAGUUACCAGAAGCUCUGGGGUUUUUUGUUUUUCAAUCAUUUUCAGAUGUUAUCCAGAAAUCUGCAAGUGUACUUUUCAUGUUUUAACUCCUUCCUUUUAUCACCUGACUAUCAGGGAAGCGAGGUUGAGGCUGCCCUGACCUGACAUGUCAUGAUGUCGACUUGCUAGGUGGGGUUCGCUGGGGACGAUAACCAGUGGAAUUGUUGACUUAGUGACUGAUGCUGAAAUGGAAACCAGCCACUGCAGAAAUUUUGAGAAAUAAAUGAAUAUGAAGACUUCAAAGGGAAGUAGGAACUCAUUUCUAGCAUUCCUAAACCUGCUUUGUCAUGUUUGCACCACUGCAGUCAGAGGAAAAGAACUGAAUUUGUGGAAAUACCAACUAAGCCUGGCUACCUAACAUUUUAAAGAAAUACACUGAAAAGGUAAGUGAAGUGUAUGUUCUGGAGAAAGACAUAUUUUUAAAAUAAGUUGUUACAUUUUAGUAGAGAUGGACAACUUUUAUUCUGAAUUUCAGAAAGGCCUCAUUAUCUUGGAGUAGAUUAAUUGUUAACAACCAACAUGGAGCCUCAAAUGUUAUGUUGUUUUAAUUUUAUCCUUCUCUUAUCUAGAGAAUGACUAAGCAUUUCAACUACACUUGACUGUUAAGUAGUCAAGUAAAAAUAUGGGUUUUUGUAAAGAGUGACUUUAAGCAUUUCAACUACACUUGACUGUUAAGUAGUCAAGUAAAAAUAUGGGUUUUUGUAAGUUUCUGUUUCCAUUCACCUAUUUUUGUUUCUUGAUAAUGUUUUGAAGUACUAGAAUUGUUCACAUCCAUCAUAUACCUAUAAUAUACCUCAAUCUGGCCCUGUACUAAAAAUAAACUAGCACUAUUCAUCUCGAGUUUACUUUUAUCGACACUUGGAAUUCUAGACUAGAGAGACAAUAUAAUAAAAUGGGGCUAAUUCCAUUUCUCCAUUAAUAAACUACAAUGUUAAUCUGUACAUGGAAAAUUUAAUUUGAAUAUCUUGUUUAUGUGCACUUACAUAUGAGAUACUUUUGCUAAGCACUUCCUAUGUGCAGGGUAUUUCCUAUAUGCUAAGCACUUUUUUUUUUAAAGACUAUUUAUUUAACUUAGGAGGCGAGAGAGAACCAGUUUUCAGUCUGGUGUUAUGUGCUGCUGGGGAUCGAACUCGGGGCCUUAUGUUUGAGAGUCCAGUGCUUUUUCUGCUAUGUCACCUCCCAGACCACAUGCUAAGCACUUUCUAAGCACGUGUAUAAUAUGUAUGAUUGUUAGGAAAUAACUGCUAUUAAUGCCUGUUUGCGUUAUUAAGGUAUGGAAGUUAACUUGCACAACUGUGAGAGAGGACUAAUUUUUAAACUCAUACAGGCUGAUUUCAAAGAUUAUAUUCUUAAUUUAGGUAUCAUGUUAUAGGCAGUAUCAUGAUAUAUUCCAAAUUCUUAAUGAGAUUUACCGAGUAUUAAUGAAGAAAAAUUAGAAUAGCAUAGAUAGGUUAUAGUGUGAUAGUAGGACCUUUUUGAGUAAAAUUCCUUUAAACUCUUGCCUCUAAGACAAGUCAUUUUUCAUAAUGACUUCAUCCUUCCCAUACAUGCACUCUACCCAUGCACAGAAUGCAUAUGUACUGUAUUACUUAUUUCUUACUUUGUGUUGCCAAGGCCUUGUGCAUGGGCUAUUUCAUUGCUGAGUCACUUUUCAUUCAUAUAUAUAUAUAUGUAUAUAUAUAUAUAGAGAGAGAGAGAGAGAGAGAGAGAUUUCCCAGAACCAGAGAUCUCCAAUGCUGACAUAUCUCCUAUAUGGUGCCAGGUCUAAAGCCUAAGCUGCAUUUAUAGCAAUUCAUAUGUCCUACCAAUGGUCUCUCUCCUGCUCUACACAAUUUGAAGAUCUACAACAGAGGAGUAGAGUUGAUCAUGGUAUGCUUUCUCUUUAGUCCAUAUUGUCCCUCAGGUCCACCUCUCUUUAUUUUUGAAAUAUGGACAUUUUCUUUAGCUAUUAAAUUAUGAAAACCAAGAGUUUUCUAGGAUUCUUUAAAAGGUAGAGUAGUUUCUGUGCAGAGGUAAUGCAAAAAUGCCCUAGGAAUUCCAGGUAGGUAAUAUAAUUCCUAUUGUAUACAUAGUUUAUUUGAAAUUUCUGUACCUUUUUACAUAUUGUUUUAUACUUCUGUAAAUAUGAUUUGACCUUUAAUAAACUAUUUUCUGAAGUGA
Long non-coding RNA from Erinaceus europaeus (western European hedgehog), 3456 nucleotides. RefSeq lists it as uncharacterized. Lineage: Eukaryota; Metazoa; Chordata; Mammalia; Eulipotyphla; Erinaceidae. The transcript is spliced from 2 exons. The record is from RefSeq and is a predicted model, not a curated record.